GCAUAUCAAUAAGCGGAGGAAAAGAAACCAACAGGGAUUGCCCUAGUAACGGCGAGUGAAGCGGCAACAGCUCAAAUUUGAAAUCUGGCCUCUUUGGGGUCCGAGUUGUAAUUUGCAGAGGGCGCUUUGGAGUCGGCAGCGGUCCAAGUUCCUUGGAACAGGACGUCACAGAGGGUGAGAAUCCCGUACGUGGUCGCUAGCCUUCGCCGUGUAAAGCCCCUUCGACGAGUCGAGUUGUUUGGGAAUGCAGCUCUAAAUGGGAGGUAAAUUUCUUCUAAAGCUAAAUACUGGCCAGAGACCGAUAGCGCACAAGUAGAGUGAUCGAAAGAUGAAAAGCACUUUGGAAAGAGAGUCAAACAGCACGUGAAAUUGUUGAAAGGGAAGCGCUUGCAGCCAGACUUGCCUGUAGUUGCUCAUCCGGGCUUUUGCCCGGUGCACUCUUCUAUAGGCAGGCCAGCAUCAGUUUGGGCGGUUGGAUAAAGGUCUCUGUCAUGUACCUCUCUUCGGGGAGAACUUAUAGGGGAGACGACAUGCAACCAGCUCAGACUGAGGUCCGCGCAUUUGCUAGGAUGCUGGCGUAAUGGCUGUAAGCGGCCCGUCUUGAAACACGGACCAAGGAGUCUAACAUCUAUGCGAGUGUUUGGGUGUCAAGCCCGAGCGCGCAAUGAAAGUGAACGGAGGUGGGAACCCCUCGGGGCGCACCAUCGACCGAUCCUGAUGUCUUCGGAUGGAUUUGAGUAAGAGCAUAGCUGUUGGGACCCGAAAGAUGGUGAACUAUGCUUGAAUAGGGUGAAGCCAGAGGAAACUCUGGUGGAGGCUCGCAGCGGUUCUGACGUGCAAAUCGAUCGUCAAAUUUGGGCAUAGGGGCGAAAGACUAAUCGA
This 882-nucleotide ribosomal RNA is filed under the name Paramycocentrospora acericola. Its description in RNAcentral is "Dothidotthiaceae sp. MB-2022a partial large subunit ribosomal RNA". It matches the Rfam family "Eukaryotic large subunit ribosomal RNA", at positions 38 to 938 of the family's 3401-position model. Lineage: Eukaryota; Fungi; Ascomycota; Dothideomycetes; Dothideales; Dothideaceae. The record is from RNAcentral.